Molecule: ribosomal RNA, 270 nt
Filed under: uncultured bacterium
Lineage: Bacteria
Description: partial 16S ribosomal RNA
Rfam family: Bacterial small subunit ribosomal RNA
Source: RNAcentral
AACGAACGCUGGCGGCAUGCUUAACACAUGCAAGUCGAACGCUUCUCGGGGCUUCGGCCCCGGGGGGAGUGGCGCACGGGUGAGUAGCGCGUGGGAACCUGCCCUGGAGUGGGGGAUAACCGAGGGAAACUUCGGCUAAUACCGCAUGCGCCCGCUGGAGUGAUCUGGCGGGGAAAGAUUUAUCGCUCUAGGAGGGGCCCGCGUCGGAUUAGCUUGUUGGUGGGGUAACGGCCUACCAAGGCGAUGAUCCGUAGCUGGUCUGAGAGGAUG